RNAcentral lists this long non-coding RNA (716 nucleotides) under Marmota monax (woodchuck). The record is from RNAcentral. Lineage: Eukaryota; Metazoa; Chordata; Mammalia; Rodentia; Sciuridae.
AAGAAGUUUCCCAAGCAUGUGCCGUGCUUUGAGAGAAGGGGAGCUAAAAUCAGGUGGUGGGAUUAGCAGGUAGGAAAAAGUCAGUUUCUCUCUCCCUUUGGUUCAGUCCAUUGACUAUGUUUCCCCGCCCCUCUUCUCCUACACACCCCUGCCCCUGGUGGUGGAGAGGUUGGAUAGUGACAUUCUAGUGCUGGGACUCCUCUUGCCUCAGCCAAAUCUCCUGAACUUUUGUUUUGAAACUAUUUGAAGUCUAAAGCUUUGCUGUUUUGUUUUUUUCCCUCCUAGUCUUUCAUUGUCAUUUCACUUUCUCUCCCUCUCCUCUUUUUCAAAUUGCAGAUCUGACAGUUUAUUGAACUAAAUGAGAAAUCUUGUCAAGGUAAACUCCAUAGCACUCUUAUUUUUAAUCUCUUCCAUGGCUAAAAUCUCUGCUGUGAUGAUAGCAUAGAGGCAGAUACAAGGCAGUGCAUCCAGUCCCCAGGCUUGGUGUGUUGGUCAUUCAUGCUCCACUGGCUUCCCAAGCAGCUGGGUUGUCUCUGCACUCUGGUGCUGGCUGAGCAGGGCUGCACGGUGAGCAAGAGAUGGACCGCUUUCUGGGUUUUGUCAAGCAGAUCCGAAGAUCUAGGAGAAGAAAGGGCAAAAAGUACCGACCAGAAGAGGAUUACCACGAGGGCUAUGAGGAUGUCUAUUAUUAUGCUUCGGAGCAUUUUCGAAGUAAG